Molecule: long non-coding RNA, 464 nt
Organism: Poeciliopsis prolifica (blackstripe livebearer)
Lineage: Eukaryota; Metazoa; Chordata; Actinopteri; Cyprinodontiformes; Poeciliidae
Exons: 5
Source: RefSeq, a predicted model, not a curated record
AGUUCAGACGCUCCAGAUUUCUCCUAAGGGAAGCGGAGGAGUCUGUGAACAUGGGCGACUUUGUAACAACGAUUAUAGCCGUACAGCUGAACUUGUCUGAUAAUGUGACGCCCUCCAGAGACGACCCGCCUUAAAUAGGUUUCUAUGUGGAGACGUUGCUGAAGACGUAACUUUGAGAAGGGCGGUGGAGAUGAUCCAUAAGUAGGAAAAGGAGGUGCACAACAACAACAAAAAGGUUCAUGGACAUCGGUUGCAAGAGCUGAAGUUUUAAGACCAGUCUGGGCUCCCGAGGUCCCUUAUGGAGCUGGCAAACAAGCAAGAGCAGUUUGAAGGAAUCAUUCUUAAGCCUGACGCUUAAUGAAAAUUGAGAGCAAAAUGUUGGAAUGAGCCAAACCACAUGUACUGAAAAACUUUAUUUAAAAACUGUACAGAUAUAAUAAAAAUCCAAAGAGGCAAACGGAUCA